RNAcentral lists this small nucleolar RNA (181 nucleotides) under Exophiala xenobiotica. Lineage: Eukaryota; Fungi; Ascomycota; Eurotiomycetes; Chaetothyriales; Herpotrichiellaceae. The record is from RNAcentral.
ACGUCUCUUGCCUCGCUCGAUCGAACGUUUUUCAGUCGAUCGAUCUUGAGCUGGAUGCUGACCGUUAUAUUCAUAACAGUCGAGCAUGAGACAAGAACAAUCGCACCAAGACUUGCCGAUUUUUGAGUACGAGUCCAUCUCUCAGAUGGUGGAUCAUCGUAAUUUAUACGGCAUGACAUGA